Non-coding RNA from Pelobates cultripes (western spadefoot toad), 395 nucleotides. The record is from the annotation of a GenBank genome assembly. NCBI's taxonomy places the organism in Eukaryota, Metazoa, Chordata, Amphibia, Anura, Pelobatidae.
CAUACACACAUGCAUAGGGAGAUGCUGAGACACACACACAUAUACAAGCAGACAUACAUACUGACAAACAUACAUAUACAUACUGCAUAUUGAUAUAUACAUACAUACCGACAGGCAUACAUACAUACAGACACACACUGGCAUACACGCACUGGCAUACAUACACACACACAUACACUGGCAUACAUACACACAUGCACUGGCAUACACACACUAGCAUACACACACAUACACUGGCAUUCAUACACUGGCAUACAUACAUACACAUACACUGGCAUCCACACACUGGCAUACAUACACACAUACACUGGCAUUCAUACACACAUACACUGGCAUUCAUACACCGGCAUACACACUGGCACACACAUACACUGGCAUACACAAUGGCAUACACA